RNAcentral lists this ribosomal RNA (425 nucleotides) under uncultured bacterium. RNAcentral's name for it is "bacterial SSU rRNA". It matches the Rfam family "Bacterial small subunit ribosomal RNA", at positions 359 to 776 of the family's 1533-position model. The record is from RNAcentral.
GAAUAUUGCACAAUGGGGGAAACCCUGAUGCAGCCAUGCCGCGUGUGUGAAGAAGGCCCUAGGGUUGUAAAGCACUUUCCGUGGGGAGGAAAGGGUGUACGUUAAUACCGUGCAUCUGUGACGUUACCCACAGAAGAAGCACCGGCUAACUCCGUGCCAGCAGCCGCGGUAAUACGGAGGGUGCGAGCGUUAAUCGGAAUUACUGGGCGUAAAGCGCGCGUAGGCGGCUAUCUAAGCUAGAUGUGAAAGCCCUGGGCUUAACCUGGGAACUGCAUUUAGAACUGGAUGGCUAGAGUACAGCAGAGGAGUGUGGAAUUUCAGGUGUAGCGGUGAAAUGCGUAGAGAUCUGAAGGAACAUCAGUGGCGAAGGCGACACUCUGGGUUGAUACUGACGCUGAGGUGCGAAAGCGUGGGGAGCAAACAGG